GGGGGAUAUUGCGCAAUGGGGGCAACCCUGACGCAGCAACGCCGCGUGAAGGAUGAAGGUUUUCGGAUUGUAAACUUCUUUUAUUAAGGACGAAACUUGACGGUACUUAAUGAAUAAGCUCCGGCUAACUACGUGCCAGCAGCCGCGGUAAUACGUAGGGAGCAAGCGUUGUCCGGAUUUACUGGGUGUAAAGGGUGCGUAGGCGGCUUUGCAAGUCAGAUGUGAAAUCUAUGGGCUCAACCCAUAAACUGCAUUUGAAACUGUAGAGCUUGAGUGAAGUAGAGGCAGGCGGAAUUCCCCGUGUAGCGGUGAAAUGCGUAGAGAUGGGGAGGAACACCAGUGGCGAAGGCGGCCUGCUGGGCUUUAACUGACGCUGAGGCACGAAAGCGUGGGUAGCAAACAGGAUUAGAUACCCUGGUAGUCCACGCUGUAAACGAUGAUUACUAGGUGUGGGGGGUCUGACCCCUUCCGUGCCGGAGUUAACACAAUAAGUAAUCCACCUGGGGAGUACGGCCGCAAGGUUGAAACUCAAAGGAAUUGACGGGGGCCCGCACAAGCAGUGGAGUAUGUGGUUUAAUUCGAAGCAACGCGAAGAACCUUACCAGGUCUUGACAUCCAACUAACGAAGUAGAGAUACAUUAGGUGCCCUUCGGGGAAAGUUGAGACAGGUGGUGCAUGGUUGUCGUCAGCUCGUGCCGUGAGAUGUUGGGUUAAGUCCCGCAACGAGCGCAACCCUUGCUAUUAGUUGCUACGCAAGAGCACUCUAAUAGGACUGCCGUUGACAAAACGGAGGAAGGUGGGGACGACGUCAAAUCAUCAUGCCCCUUAUGACCUGGGCUACACACGUACUACAAUGGAUGUUAACAGAGGGAAGCAAGACAGCGAUGUGGAGCAAACCCCUAAAAACAUUCUCAGUUCAGAUUGCAGGCUGCAACCCGCCUGCAUGAAGAUGGAAUUGCUAGUAAUCGCGGAUCAGCAUGCCGCGGUGAAUACGUUCCCG
This 1000-nucleotide ribosomal RNA is filed under the name uncultured organism. Its description in RNAcentral is "bacterial SSU rRNA". It matches the Rfam family "Bacterial small subunit ribosomal RNA", at positions 356 to 1376 of the family's 1533-position model. The record is from RNAcentral.